GUCCACACCGUAACGUUGGGCGCUAGGUGUGGGUCCAUUCCACGGAUUCCGUGCCGCAGCUAACGCAUUAAGCGCCCCGCCUGGGGAGUACGGCCGCAAGGCUAAAACUCAAAGGAAUUGACGGGGCCCGCACAAGCGGCGGAGCAUGCGGAUUAAUUCGAUGCAACGCGAAGAACCUUACCUGGGUUUGACAUACACCCUGCCGCUCCAGAGAUGGGGCUUCUUUGGGGGUGUACAGGUGGUGCAUGGCUGUCGU
RNAcentral lists this ribosomal RNA (256 nucleotides) under uncultured bacterium. Its description in RNAcentral is "partial 16S ribosomal RNA". It matches the Rfam family "Bacterial small subunit ribosomal RNA", at positions 793 to 1055 of the family's 1533-position model. The record is from RNAcentral.